UGGGGAAUUUUGGACAAUGGGCGAAAGCCUGAUCCAGCAAUGCCGCGUGUGUGAAGAAGGCCUUCGGGUUGUAAAGCACUUUUGUCCGGAAAGAAAUCCUUGGCUCUAAUACAGUCGGGGGAUGACGGUACCGGAAGAAUAAGCACCGGCUAACUACGUGCCAGCAGCCGCGGUAAUACGUAGGGUGCAAGCGUUAAUCGGAAUUACUGGGCGUAAAGCGUGCGCAGGCGGUUUGCUAAGACCGAUGUGAAAUCCCCGGGCUCAACCUGGGAACUGCAUUGGUGACUGGCAGGCUAGAGUAUGGCAGAGGGGGGUAGAAUUCCACGUGUAGCAGUGAGAUGCGUAGAGAUGUGGAGGAAUACCGAUGGCGAAGGCAGCCCCCUGGGCCAAUACUGACGCUCAUGCACGAAAGCGUGGGGAGCAAACAGGAUUAGAUACCCUGGUAGUCCACGCCCUAAACGAUGUCAACUAGUUGUUGGGGAUUCAUUUCCUUAGUAACGUAGCUAACGCGUGAAGUUGACCGCCUGGGGAGUACGGUCGCAAGAUUAAAACUUAAAUGAAUUGACGGGGUCAUAGCUGUUUCCU
This 585-nucleotide ribosomal RNA is filed under the name uncultured bacterium. Its description in RNAcentral is "partial 16S ribosomal RNA". It matches the Rfam family "Bacterial small subunit ribosomal RNA", at positions 355 to 1375 of the family's 1533-position model. The record is from RNAcentral.